AUUCUGUAAGCCUGCGAAGGUGUACUGUGAGGUAUGCUGGAGGUAUCAGAAGUGCGAAUGCUGACAUAAGUAACGAUAAAGCGGGUGAAAAGCCCGCUCGCCGGAAGACCAAGGGUUCCUGUCCAACGUUAAUCGGGGCAGGGUGAGUCGACCCCUAAGGCGAGGCCGAAAGGCGUAGUCGAUGGGAAACAGGUUAAUAUUCCUGUACUUGGUGUUACUGCGAAGGGGGGACGGAGAAGGCUAUGUUGGCCGGGCGACGGUUGUCCCGGUUUAAGCGUGUAGGCUGAUUUUCCAGGUAAAUCCGGAAAAUCAAGGCUGAGGCGUGAUGACGAGGCACUACGGUGCUGAAGCAACAAAUGCCCUGCUUCCAGGAAAAGCCUCUAAGCAUCAGGUAACAUCAAAUCGUACCCCAAACCGACACAGGUGGUCAGGUAGAGAAUACCAAGGCGCUUGAGAGAACUCGGGUGAAGGAACUAGGCAAAAUGGUGCCGUAACUUCGGGAGAAGGCACGCUGAUACGUAGGUGAAGUCCCUUGCGGAUGGAGCUGAAAUCAGUCGAAGAUACCAGCUGGCUGCAACUGUUUAUUAAAAACACAGCACUGUGCAAACACGAAAGUGGACGUAUACGGUGUGACGCCUGAAUGGCGUAAUGAUGGCCAGGCUGUCUCCACCCGAGACUCAGUGAAAUUGAACUCGCUGUGAAGAUGCAGUGUACCCGCGGCAAGACGGAAAGACCCCGUGAACCUUUACUAUAGCUUGACACUGAACAUUGAGCCUUGAUGUGUAGGAUAGGUGGGAGGCUUUGAAGUGUGGACGCCAGUCUGCAUGGAGCCGACCUUGAAAUACCACCCUUUAAUGUUUGAUGUUCUAACGUUGGCCCCUAAUCGGGGUUGCGGACAGUGUCUGGUGGGUAGUUUGACUGGGGCGGUCUCCUCCUAAAGAGUAACGGAGGAGCACGAAGGUUGGCUAAUCCUGGUCGGACAUCAGGAGGUUAGUGCAAUGGCAUAAGCCAGCUUGACUGCGAGCGUGACGGCGCGAGCAGGUGCGAAAGCAGGUCAUAGUGAUCCGGUGGUUCUGAAUGGAAGGGCCAUCGCUCAACGGAUAAAAGGUACUCCGGGGGAUAACAGGCUGAUACCGCCCAAGAGUUCAUAUCGACGGCGGUGUUUGGCACCUCGAUGUCGGCUCAUCACAUCCUGGGGCUGAAGUAGGUCCCAAGGGUAUGGCUGUUCGCCAUUUAAAGUGGUACGCGAGCUGGGUUUAGAACGUCGUGAGACAGUUCGGUCCCUAUCUGCCGUGGGCGCUGGAGAACUGAGGGGGGCUGCUCCUAGUACGAGAGGACCGGAGUGGACGCAUCACUGGUGUUCGGGUUGUCAUGCCAAUGGCACUGCCCGGUAGCUAAAUGCGGAAGAGAUAAGUGCUGAAAGCAUCUAAGCACGAAACUUGCCCCGAGAUGAGUUCUCCCUGACUCCUUGAGAGUCCUGAAGGAACGUUGAAGACGACGACGUUGAUAGGCCGGGUGUGUAAGCGCAGCGAUGCGUUGAGCUAACCGGUACUAAUGAACCGUGAG
This 1566-nucleotide ribosomal RNA is filed under the name Bacteroides xylanisolvens. RNAcentral's name for it is "partial 23S ribosomal RNA". It matches the Rfam family "Bacterial large subunit ribosomal RNA", at positions 1238 to 2915 of the family's 2925-position model. Lineage: Bacteria; Pseudomonadati; Bacteroidota; Bacteroidia; Bacteroidales; Bacteroidaceae. The record is from RNAcentral.